AGUGAACGCUGGCGGUAGGCCUAACACAUGCAAGUCGAACGGCAGCACAGUAAGAGCUUGCUCUUACGGGUGGCGAGUGGCGGACGGGUGAGGAAUACAUCGGAAUCUACUUUUUCGUGGGGGAUAACGUAGGGAAACUUACGCUAAUACCGCAUACGACCUACGGGUGAAAGCAGGGGAUCUUCGGACCUUGCGCGAUUGAAUGAGCCGAUGUCGGAUUAGCUAGUUGGCGGGGUAAAGGCCCACCAAGGCGACGAUCCGUAGCUGGUCUGAGAGGAUGAUCAGCCACACUGGAACUGAGACACGGUCCAGACUCCUACGGGAGGCAGCAGUGGGGAAUAUUGGACAAUGGGCGCGAGCCUGAUCCAGCCAUACCGCGUGGGUGAAGAAGGCCUUCGGGUUGUAAAGCCCUUUUGUUGGGAAAGAAAAGCAGCAGGUUAAUACCCAGCUGUUCUGACGGUACCCAAAGAAUAAGCACCGGCUAACUUCGUG
RNAcentral lists this ribosomal RNA (492 nucleotides) under uncultured bacterium. RNAcentral's name for it is "partial 16S ribosomal RNA". It matches the Rfam family "Bacterial small subunit ribosomal RNA", at positions 29 to 507 of the family's 1533-position model. The record is from RNAcentral.